Molecule: ribosomal RNA, 591 nt
Filed under: Beauveria bassiana
Lineage: Eukaryota; Fungi; Ascomycota; Sordariomycetes; Hypocreales; Cordycipitaceae
Description: eukaryotic LSU rRNA
Rfam family: 5.8S ribosomal RNA (bases 216-368)
Source: RNAcentral
GGAAGUAAAAGUCGAACAAGGUCUCCGUUGGUGAACCAGCGGAGGGAUCAUUACCGAGUUUUCAACUCCCUAACCCUUCUGUGAACCUACCUAUCGUUGCUUCGGCGGACUCGCCCCAGCCCGGACGCGGACUGGACCAGCGGCCCGCCGGGGACCUCAAACUCUUGUAUUCCAGCAUCUUCUGAAUACGCCGCAAGGCAAAACAAAUGAAUCAAAACUUUCAACAACGGAUCUCUUGGCUCUGGCAUGAUGAAGAACGCAGCGAAACGCGAUAAGUAAUGUGAAUUGCAGAAUCCAGUGAAUCAUCGAAUCUUUGAACGCACAUUGCGCCCGCCAGCAUUCUGGCGGGCAUGCCUGUUCGAGCGUCAUUUCAACCCUCGACCUCCCCUUGGGGAGGUCGGCGUUGGGGACCGGCAGCACACCGCCGGCCCUGAAAUGGAGUGGCGGCCCGUCCGCGGCGACCUCUGCGCAGUAAUACAGCUCGCACCGGAACCCCGACGCGGCCACGCCGUAAAACACCCAACUUCUGAACGUUGACCUCGAAUCAGGUAGGACUACCCGCUGAACUUAAGCAUAUCAAUAAGCGGAGGA